Molecule: non-coding RNA, 72 nt
Organism: Aedes aegypti (yellow fever mosquito)
Lineage: Eukaryota; Metazoa; Arthropoda; Insecta; Diptera; Culicidae
Source: Rfam
GGCUCGGUAGCUUAGUUGGUAAAGCACUCGUCUAGCAUACAAGAAGCGUGAGUUCAAAUCCCACUUGAGCAC